RNAcentral lists this ribosomal RNA (492 nucleotides) under uncultured bacterium. RNAcentral's name for it is "partial 16S ribosomal RNA". It matches the Rfam family "Bacterial small subunit ribosomal RNA", at positions 29 to 507 of the family's 1533-position model. The record is from RNAcentral.
AAUGAACGCUGGCGGUAUGCCUAACACAUGCAAGUCGAACGGCAGCACAGUAAUAGCUUGCUCUUACGGGUGGCGAAUCGCGGACGUGACAGGAAUACAUCCUAAUCUACUUUUUCGGAUAGGAUAACGUAGGUGAACUUACUCUAAUACCGCAUACGACCUACGGUUGAAAGCAGUGGAUCUUCUCACCUUGCGCGAAUGAAUGAGCCGAUGUCGGAUUAGCUAGUUGGCGGGGUAAUGGCCCACCAAGUCGACGAUCCGUAGCUGGUCUGAGAGGAUGAUCAGCCACACUAGAACUGAGACAGGGACAAUGCGCCUACGAGAGGCAGCAGUGGGGAAUAUUAGACAAUGGGCGCAAGUAUGAUACAGCCAGACGGCGUGGGUGAAGAAGGCCUUCGGGUUGUAAUGCCCUUUUGUUGGGAAAGAAAUCCAGUCGGCUAAUACCUGGUUGGGAUGACGGUACCCAAAGAAUAAGCACCGGCUAACUUCGUG